Molecule: long non-coding RNA, 499 nt
Organism: Pan troglodytes (chimpanzee)
Lineage: Eukaryota; Metazoa; Chordata; Mammalia; Primates; Hominidae
Exons: 3
Source: RefSeq, a predicted model, not a curated record
GUUGCACGUCCGGACCCGGACCCAGACCCGAGCGUCGCAAGAAGGCCCGUUGGAGUCUCGCGCAACUGGGCGGGACGCGACUUCUGACGAAGUGACAAUGGUCUAUGCAUAUAUUAAGUGAAUAUUUGAGAAUUUAAAUAUGCUAAGCCAUGUUUUCCAGAGUUCAUGGAUGGAAAGCACCAGACGAGCAGAUGGCAUGGUGGAAAGAGCCUCCGAGAGGGAAUUAGGAUAACUGAGUUCCAGUCCUGAAUCACUUAUAGACUACUAUAUGUCUUCCUGAAUUGCAGUCUUCUUAUCUGCAAACUUCUGUAACAUCUCCAGAAGAAUGAAGCAACUUCUUCCUGUGUACCACAGCACACCUUGUUAAUACUUUUUUUAGAGCACUUAUACAUGGCUGUAACAGCUUGUUUACAUAUCUCUUUCGCCAGACCUCUGGAGAGCAAGGGCUACAGCUCCUGUACUUAGCACAGUGAUUAUCACUUAAUAAAUGUUUGUGGAA